GUAGGUGGCAAACGUUAUCCGGAAUUAAUUGGCGUAAAGGGUCGUAGGCGCCAUUUAAGUCUAAGGUGAAAGUUCCGAGGCUCAACUUCGAAUUGCCUUAGAAACUGGAUGGCUAGAGUGCAGGAGAGGCCAAUGGAAUUCCAUGUGUAGCGGUAAAAUGCGUAGAUAUAUGGAGGAACACCAGUGGCGAAGGCGGUUGCCUGGCCUGUAACUGACGCUGAAGCACGAAAGCGUGGGGAGCAAAUAGGAUUAGAUACCCUAGUAGUCCACGCUGUAAACGAUGAUUACUAAGUGUUGGGGAAACUCAGUGCUGCAGUUAACGCAAUAAGUAAUCCGCC
This 338-nucleotide ribosomal RNA is filed under the name uncultured bacterium. Its description in RNAcentral is "bacterial SSU rRNA". It matches the Rfam family "Bacterial small subunit ribosomal RNA", at positions 527 to 873 of the family's 1533-position model. The record is from RNAcentral.